Molecule: ribosomal RNA, 233 nt
Filed under: uncultured bacterium
Lineage: Bacteria
Description: partial 16S ribosomal RNA
Rfam family: Bacterial small subunit ribosomal RNA
Source: RNAcentral
CGGGACGGGUGAGUAAUGUCUGGGAAACUGCCUGAUGGAGGGGGAUAACUACUGGAAACGGUAGCUAAUACCGCAUAACGUCGCAAGACCAAAGAGGGGGACCUUAGGGCCUCUUGCCAUCGGAUGUGCCCAGAUGGGAUUAGCUAGUAGAUGGGGUAACGGCUCACCUAGGCGACGAUCCCUAGCUGGUCUGAGAGGAUGACCAGCCACACUGGAACUGAGACACGGUCCAG